AUACGUAGGGGGCGAGCGUUGUCCGGAAUGACUGGGCGUAAAGGGCGUGUAGGCGGCGAUUUAAGUUUGGAGUGAAAGUCCCGUUUUCAAGAUGGGAAUUGCUUUGGAUACUGGAUUGCUUGAGUACAGAAGAGGUAAGCGGAAUUCCCGGUGUAGCGGUGAAAUGCGUAGAGAUCGGGAGGAACACCAGUGGCGAAGGCGGCUUACUGGGCUGUAACUGACGCUGAGGCGCGAAAGCGUGGGGAGCGAACAGGAUUAGAUACCCUGGUAGUCCACGCGGUAAACGAUGAAUGCUAGGUGUAGCGGGUAUCGACCCCUGCUGUGCCGCAGUAAACACAAUAAGCAUUCCGCCUGGGGAGUACGGCCGCAAGGUUGAAACUCAAAGGAAUUGACGGGG
This 397-nucleotide ribosomal RNA is filed under the name uncultured bacterium. Its description in RNAcentral is "partial 16S ribosomal RNA". It matches the Rfam family "Bacterial small subunit ribosomal RNA", at positions 523 to 918 of the family's 1533-position model. The record is from RNAcentral.